RNAcentral lists this ribosomal RNA (655 nucleotides) under uncultured bacterium. Its description in RNAcentral is "bacterial SSU rRNA". It matches the Rfam family "Bacterial small subunit ribosomal RNA", at positions 363 to 1012 of the family's 1533-position model. The record is from RNAcentral.
AUUGGACAUGGGGGCANCCUGAUCCUUCAAUGCCGCGUGUGCGAAGAACGCCUUCGGGUUGUAAAGCACUUUUGUCAGGGAAGAAAUCUUUUGGGCGAAUACCCCGAGAAGGAUGACGGUACCUGAAGAAUAAGCACCGGCUAACUACGUGCCAGCAGCCGCGGUAAUACGUAGGGUGCAAGCGUUAAUCGGAAUUACUGGGCGUAAAGCGUGCGCAGGCGGUUCGCUAAGACAGUCGUGAAAUCCCCGGGCUUAACCUGGGAACUGCGAUUGUGACUGGCGAGCUAGAGUACGGCAGAGGGGGGUGGAAUUCCUGGUGUAGCAGUGAAAUGCGUAGAGAUCAGGAGGAACACCGAUGGCGAAGGCAGCCCCCUGGGCUAGUACUGACGCUCAUGCACGAAAGCGUGGGGAGCAAACAGGAUUAGAUACCCUGGUAGUCCACGCCCUAAACGAUGUCGAUUAGUUGUUGGUUCUUCAUUGAAUCAGUAACGAAGCUAACGCGUGAAAUCGACCGCCUGGGGAGUACGGUCGCAAGAUUAAAACUCAAAGGACUUUGACGGGGACCCGCACAAGCGGUGGAUGCAUGUGGAUUACUUCGAUGCAACGCGAAAAACCUUACUACCCUUGACAUGGUCGGAAUCUGCAGAGAUGCGGG